Transfer RNA from Chlorocebus sabaeus (green monkey), 75 nucleotides. It matches the Rfam family "tRNA". Rfam says of the family: Transfer RNA (tRNA) molecules are approximately 80 nucleotides in length. Their secondary structure includes four short double-helical elements and three loops (D, anti-codon, and T loops). Further hydrogen bonds mediate the characteristic L-shaped molecular structure. tRNAs have two regions of fundamental functional importance: the anti-codon, which is responsible for specific mRNA codon recognition, and the 3' end, to which the tRNAs corresponding amino acid is attached (by aminoacyl-tRNA synthetases). tRNAs cope with the degeneracy of the genetic code in two manners: having more than one tRNA (with a specific anti-codon) for a particular amino acid; and 'wobble' base-pairing, i.e. permitting non-standard base-pairing at the 3rd anti-codon position. NCBI's taxonomy places the organism in Eukaryota, Metazoa, Chordata, Mammalia, Primates, Cercopithecidae. The record is from Rfam.
GUUAAGGUGGCAGAACCUGGUAAUUGCAUAAAACUUAAAACUUUAUAAUCAGAGGUUCAAUUGAUCUUCCUAACA